RNAcentral lists this ribosomal RNA (484 nucleotides) under Burkholderia sp. C2PML21. RNAcentral describes it as "bacterial SSU rRNA". It matches the Rfam family "Bacterial small subunit ribosomal RNA", at positions 29 to 496 of the family's 1533-position model. Lineage: Bacteria; Pseudomonadati; Pseudomonadota; Betaproteobacteria; Burkholderiales; Burkholderiaceae. The record is from RNAcentral.
UUGAACGCUGGCGGCAUGCCUUACACAUGCAAGUCGAACGGCAGCACGGGGGCAACCCUGGUGGCGAGUGGCGAACGGGUGAGUAAUACAUCGGAACGUGUCCUGUAGUGGGGGAUAGCCCGGCGAAAGCCGGAUUAAUACCGCAUACGAUCUACGGAAAGAAAAGCCGGGGGAUCGCCAAGACCUUGGCGCUUAAUAGGGGCGGCCGAUGGCAGAUUAGCUAGUUGGGGUGGGGUAAAGGCCUACCAAGGCGACGAUCUGUAGCUGGUCUGAGAGGACGACCAGCCACACUGGGACUGAGACACGGCCCAGACUCCUACGGGAGGCAGCAGUGGGGAAAUUUUGGACAAUGGGGGAACACCUGCAUCCAGCACAUGCCGCGUGUGUGAAGAAGGCCUUCGGGUUGUAAAGCACUUUUGUCCGGAAAGAACACUUCUGCCCUCAUACGGCGGGAGGAUGACGGUACCGGAAGCAAUAGCACCGG